This 253-nucleotide ribosomal RNA is filed under the name uncultured bacterium. Its description in RNAcentral is "partial 16S ribosomal RNA". It matches the Rfam family "Bacterial small subunit ribosomal RNA", at positions 524 to 776 of the family's 1533-position model. The record is from RNAcentral.
UACGUAGGGUGCAAGCGUUGUCCGGAAUUAUUGGGCGUAAAGAGCUCGUAGGCGGUCUGUCGCGUCGGCUGUGAAAACCUGGGGCUUAACUCCGGGCCUGCAGCCGAUACGGGCAGACUAGAGUUCGGCAGGGGAGACUGGAAUUCCUGGUGUAGCGGUGAAAUGCGCAGAUAUCAGGAGGAACACCGAUGGCGAAGGCAGAUCUCUGGGCCGUAACUGACGCUGAGGAGCGAAAGCAUGGGGAGCGAACAGG